This 72-nucleotide transfer RNA is filed under the name Ovis aries (sheep). It matches the Rfam family "tRNA". From Rfam's summary of the family: Transfer RNA (tRNA) molecules are approximately 80 nucleotides in length. Their secondary structure includes four short double-helical elements and three loops (D, anti-codon, and T loops). Further hydrogen bonds mediate the characteristic L-shaped molecular structure. tRNAs have two regions of fundamental functional importance: the anti-codon, which is responsible for specific mRNA codon recognition, and the 3' end, to which the tRNAs corresponding amino acid is attached (by aminoacyl-tRNA synthetases). tRNAs cope with the degeneracy of the genetic code in two manners: having more than one tRNA (with a specific anti-codon) for a particular amino acid; and 'wobble' base-pairing, i.e. permitting non-standard base-pairing at the 3rd anti-codon position. The record is from Rfam by way of RNAcentral. Lineage: Eukaryota; Metazoa; Chordata; Mammalia; Artiodactyla; Bovidae.
UUCCUGGUGGCUCAGACGGUAAAGCGUCUGCCUGCAAUGCAGGAGACCUCGGUUCGAUUCCUGGUUCGGGAA